AAACCAUUAAUCAGAAAUCAACAAAAUGAAGGCUAUUAUUCUUAUUUGCAUUCUCUUUGCUUCCCUGCUUAUCUUGUCCCCUGCAAUUGCAGCUCGCGAACUGGCUGAUGAGAGUGUUAAUGCAGGUUCUGGUGGCCAUGCCGUGAAUCCCAAGAUUCCCAACAAGCCUAUAAUAUGCGGAAAUGAUCCUAAGGAUCCCGCACCGUAUAGCAAAUGCAUAGGGAAAGUGAAACCGAAGCCCAAGUGUUCUAAAUACAAUAGGCGCGAGUGCGAGCCAUAACGGAACUUGAAUAUUAGAGUUUGGUUUGAUAUCAUAAGAAUAAAGCUUUUUGAGCUCACUCCAACUCUGCAGUGUGGAGAUGUGUAAAAUCAUGUUACCGUAUUUUGAUAUGAUGUACGUGUGCCAAAAAUAAAAGAGCUGACUUGAUUAUUUGGGUCAGCUUGUUUUCUUACUAUCUAA
Molecule: long non-coding RNA, 460 nt
Organism: Juglans regia (Persian walnut)
Lineage: Eukaryota; Viridiplantae; Streptophyta; Magnoliopsida; Fagales; Juglandaceae
Exons: 2
Source: RefSeq, a predicted model, not a curated record